AUAUAUAUCAAAGUGUACCUUUGCAUUUGUGAGUAAUCUCUUACUUCUAUUUGAAUUUCGGAUUAAGGAAAUUGCAAGAACAGUGAAACUAUUCAACAUCUUGAAACAUAGGGAAUUUUGUUCGCAUCUCAAAUAAGUGGAAACUGGAAAGCAUAUGAGUCAUCAGUGGCAACUGACCAUUGUUUUCUUUCAAAAGAAAGAAAGAGAGACACAAAAUCUUUAUACAUCUUUGCAUUCCUUCCCCAACUCCCUCUUAAGACAUUCACCCUACUCGUAAUAGCACACUUAAUGUUAGAUUUUUUCUGUAACUAAAGAAAGCAUGGAGUUUCAAAAACAAUUGAACUUCUAAAUGAUGAGGAACGUUGGUAAGAAUAAUAUCAUAUCACGACUCUAGGACACUCCAAAAUACUCUAAAACUCAACUGACUCAUCACUGAAAUACAAUGACGCCUAAAACAACUCUUUAUCAAAACUGGAUUCAGAAAUAUGACUAAAACGCUGCCAUAGUUAGGGGAAGCCCUAAACUUCCUGGUAGAAUCAUAUUAAUACCAGUCGAAGUACUUUAGAAAAAAG
Molecule: long non-coding RNA, 572 nt
Filed under: Phoenix dactylifera (date palm)
Lineage: Eukaryota; Viridiplantae; Streptophyta; Magnoliopsida; Arecales; Arecaceae
Description: long non-coding RNA (PDAC_LNC007861)
Source: RNAcentral